UACGGAGGAUGCGAGCGUUAUCCGGAUUUUAUUGGGGUUUAAAGGGUGCGUAGGCGGCCGAGUAAGUCAGCGGUGAAAUUUUGUAGCUUAAACUGUAACAGGUGCCGUUGAUACUGCAUGGCUAGGAUUUGGUUGCUGUGGGUGGAAUGUGUGGUGUAGCGGUGAAAUGCUUAGAUAUCACACAGAAUAUCAAUUUGCGAAGGCAGCUCACAAAGCCAAGAUUGACGCUGAGGCACGAAAGUUGGGGAUCCAAACAGGAUUA
RNAcentral lists this ribosomal RNA (262 nucleotides) under uncultured prokaryote. Its description in RNAcentral is "partial 16S ribosomal RNA". It matches the Rfam family "Bacterial small subunit ribosomal RNA", at positions 524 to 780 of the family's 1533-position model. The record is from RNAcentral.